GGUUCUAUGGUGUAAUGGUUAGCACUCUGGACUUUGAAUCCAGCGAUCCGAGUUCAAGUCUCGGCAGAACCU
This 72-nucleotide transfer RNA is filed under the name Octopus bimaculoides (California two-spot octopus). Its description in RNAcentral is "transfer RNA glutamine (anticodon UUG)". It matches the Rfam family "tRNA". Rfam says of the family: Transfer RNA (tRNA) molecules are approximately 80 nucleotides in length. Their secondary structure includes four short double-helical elements and three loops (D, anti-codon, and T loops). The record is from RNAcentral. Lineage: Eukaryota; Metazoa; Mollusca; Cephalopoda; Octopoda; Octopodidae.